RNAcentral lists this ribosomal RNA (468 nucleotides) under uncultured bacterium. Its description in RNAcentral is "partial 16S ribosomal RNA". It matches the Rfam family "Bacterial small subunit ribosomal RNA", at positions 28 to 507 of the family's 1533-position model. The record is from RNAcentral.
GACGAACGCUGGCGGCGUGCUUAACACAUGCCAGUCGAACGGAAAGGCCCUGCUUUUGUGGGGUGCUCGAGUGGCGAACGGGUGAGUAACACGUGAGUAACCUGCCCUUGACUUUGGGAUAACUUCAGGAAACUGGGGCUAAUACCGGAUAGGAGCUCCUGCUGCAUGGUGGGGGUUGGAAAGUUUCGGCGGUUGGGGAUGGACUCGCGGCUUAUCAGCUUGUUGGUGGGGUAGUGGCUUACCAAGGCUUUGACGGGUAGCCGGCCUGAGAGGGUGACCGGCCACAUUGGGCCUGCGAUACGGCCCAGACUCCUACGGGCGGCAGCAGUGGGGAAUAUUGCACAAUGGGCGGAAGCCUGAUGCAGCAACGCCGCGUGCGGGAUGCCGGCCUUCGGGUUGUAAACCGCUUUCGCCUGUGACGAAGCGUGAGUGACGGUAAUGGGUAAAGAAGCACCGGCUAACUACGUG